Molecule: ribosomal RNA, 253 nt
Filed under: uncultured bacterium
Lineage: Bacteria
Description: partial 16S ribosomal RNA
Rfam family: Bacterial small subunit ribosomal RNA
Source: RNAcentral
UACGUAGGUCCAGAACGUUGCGCGAAUUUACUGGGCGUAAAGGGUCCGUAGGCGGUUUAGCAAGUGGUUGGUGAAAUUUCACGGCUCAACCGUGAAACUGCCUUCCAAACUGCUAAACUUGAGGCAGGGUGAUGUUGACGUAAUUCCCGGUGUAGCGGUGAAAUGCGUAGAUAUCGGGAGGAGCACCAGUGGCGAAGGCGGCCGACUGGAACUGUCCUGACGCUGAGGGACGAAAGCUAGGGGAGCAAACCGG